GCCGCUAUAGCUCAGUGGCAGAGCACUGGUCUUGUAAACCAGGGGUCGCGAGUUCGAUCCUCACUGGCGGCU
RNAcentral lists this transfer RNA (72 nucleotides) under Ixodes scapularis (black-legged tick). It matches the Rfam family "tRNA". From Rfam's summary of the family: Transfer RNA (tRNA) molecules are approximately 80 nucleotides in length. Their secondary structure includes four short double-helical elements and three loops (D, anti-codon, and T loops). Lineage: Eukaryota; Metazoa; Arthropoda; Arachnida; Ixodida; Ixodidae. The record is from Rfam by way of RNAcentral.